CCUACGGGUGGCAGCAGUGAGGAAUAUUGGUCAAUGGGCGCGAGCCUGAACCAGCCAAGUAGCGUGAAGGAUGACUGCCCUACGGGUUGUAAACUUCUUUUAUAAAGGAAUAAAGUGAGGCACGUGUGCCUCUUUGUAUGUACUUUAUGAAUAAGGAUCGGCUAACUCCGUGCCAGCAGCCGCGGUAAUACGGAGGAUCCGAGCGUUAUCCGGAUUUAUUGGGUUUAAAGGGUGCGUCAGUGGGUUGUUAAGUCAGUUGUGAAAGUUUGCGGCUCAACCGUAAAAUUGCAAUUGAUACUGGGAGUCUUGAGUACAGUUGAGGUAGGCGGAAUGCGUGGUGUAGCGGUGAAAUGCAUAGAUAUCACGAAGAACUCCGAUUGCGAAGGCAGCUUACUAAACUGCCACUGACAUUGAUGCUCGAAAGUGUGGGUAUCAAACAGGAUUAGAUACCCUGGUAGUC
Molecule: ribosomal RNA, 460 nt
Filed under: uncultured bacterium
Lineage: Bacteria
Description: partial 16S ribosomal RNA
Rfam family: Bacterial small subunit ribosomal RNA
Source: RNAcentral